AUGGAUGCGCCAGCGCCGCCGUCGCCGGCGGCGCACAACCUCAAGAAGCGCAAGUUGGACCGGCUGGAUGAGCAAGAACCACCACCGGAGAGCGGCAGGGCCGGCGACGGGGUCGGCCUCGACUUCAUCAACGCCCUUCCCGACGACCUCCUGUGCACCAUCAUCUCUCUCCUUCCCACCAAGGACGGCGCCCGCACGCAGGUCCUCGCCCGCCGGUGGCGGCCCCUCUGGCGCUCCGCGCCCCUCAACCUUGUUGCCGACUAUAGCCUCUCCCUCCAGGAGCGCCCUCACCGACCUCCAAGAGCUCUGCUUCGGCUACGGACCCGAGGCUACGGCCCCCGAGGCAUCCCGCCGUCCCAUCUGCCGAUGACCCCGACACCCUCGAUACCACAGUCCGCGCUCCGCUUCGCGCCGACACUCCGCGUCGCCAGAAUCAGCUACUGCUAUUUCCCCAAGCUGCCUGCCAAGUCUCUGAAUUUUCCGCUUCUCAAGCAGCUCAGCAUGUACAAGGUCACCAUCUCGGACUUGUCUGCGUCGUCUCUGAAUUUUCCGCACCUCAGGCAGCUCACCACGCAUGAGGUCACCAUCUCGGGGCACGCUCUGCACAGCUUGCUCUCUGGCUGCUUUUCACUGGAAAGCCUCUUACUGAAAGAUAAUGUUGGUUUUUCUGGUUGUCAUGAGCUGAUCAUCGAGGAUGCCUCUUGCCUUGAGAGGUUGCUGCCACUCUCUCCAGACUAUGGUCCCUCGACAGUCCAGAUCAUCAGAGCACCCAAGCUGCAGAUGACGGUUUUGCUGUCAAAUGGCACAUCCAAACUCCAUAUUGGAACCACAGGUUUUCAGGAAAUGCCUGCCAUCAACGUGACAACCAUCAUGCAAACCGUGAAGUUUUUGGUUAUCGACUCUGUUGGCCCUGAUCUCAAUGCAGUAAUUGGCUUCCUCAAGUGCUGCCCCUGCCUAGAGAGGCUGUAUAUCAUUUCGCACCUGAGGAAAGGAAUGAAAAAUGUGCGAAAAUAUGACACGCUGGAUCCAAUUGAAUGCCUCACGCUCCAUCUCAAAAGCGUGGUCUUGCAGAACUACUGGGGCAACAAGCCAGAUGUGGACUUUGCCAAAUUUUUCAUCUUGAAUGCAAUGGUGCUAGAACAAAUGAUAUUUAGAACCCUCAACAGCUGCAAUGACAAAUGGAUGUCUGAUCAACAUAGGCGGCUGCAAAUGGACAACAGAGCUUCUCUAGAUGCUCGAUUUGAAUUCAAACGAUAUUUCUGUCGGGAUUGGGCUUGGUUCCACGAUAACAAGCAUACCCAUGAUUUAUCUGUGGCGAAUCCCUUUGCUGAUAGGUUCGAGAAUACCAUCCUUUGA
This 1356-nucleotide ribosomal RNA is filed under the name Triticum aestivum (bread wheat). RNAcentral describes it as "partial small subunit ribosomal RNA". Lineage: Eukaryota; Viridiplantae; Streptophyta; Magnoliopsida; Poales; Poaceae. The record is from RNAcentral.